This 1663-nucleotide long non-coding RNA is filed under the name Homo sapiens (human). RNAcentral's name for it is "non-protein coding lnc-HMGB2-15:4". Lineage: Eukaryota; Metazoa; Chordata; Mammalia; Primates; Hominidae. The record is from RNAcentral.
AACAGGAGCGUGUGAUUGGGGUUUACAGUGUUUUCUCUCGCUCUCUCUGUUUCUAGGGAAUUCGGGCUGUGUUUAGCUGCUGGAAUAUCGUAGAAUUGGUUUUCAGAGAAGUUCCUCGACUCCUGAGGCGAAACAUAAAGGGAUGGGAGUGGUGUGGGAAGUGAUCGUGUGGGGAAAAAAAAGUUUCGAGCCCGUUUCGCAUUUGUGGAGACAGAGUUUUUGGUGUGACCACUCUUUUGUGGGAAACCCAAACCAAGGAGAACUCAGGAGAAUUGGCGCUCUUCGGUCCUGGAGGUUCCGCAGCUAACAUCCCGGCUUGACCAACUAUCGAGGCCGCAAAUUAAUAGGGCACCUCCUGGGAGGAAAACGCCCAUCCUGACUUCUCAACUGUGACAGGUCCCCCUCACAAACGCCUUGCGGGGGGGUGGGGGGGCGUUUCUAAACACUUGCAUGUUCUUACAAGGGAAAUGUUUUUAUUCUUGGGCGCACCAAGUUGGCCGCCUCCUGAGGUGGAGUACGGACCAGUUGACAACAGGGCUCCUUUUCACCUCCACGCCCAACCUUUUCCAUUUCUCCUCAAACGGUUUUGGAGAAGGGCGGAGUCAUAUCAUUUUAAAGGAAACUUGGAACCUCACCAAUACAAACGCUGGUCGAAUGUUCCCAGAAACUUCCCUGCAUUAGCUCUACCGGGCGCGGGGAGCAGAAAGCGCAUUUCCUGAGUCCUGAAAAGCGCGUGCGCGCCUGUGUGCUGCCGGCGUUUGGGCGCGCCUGCUUGUAUGUAUGUGUUCGCGGGCGCGCGCGUGUGUACGUGUGUGUGCGCGCGUACGCGUGUAUGUUCCUGCGCGCUUGCGGGGACGUGCUUGUGGAGGGCGGAGAGAGGGAUGGGCGUGGCUAAUAUGAAAGCUGCAUCUUUACUAGUUAGCUACCAUGCGUCAUUAUUUAUCAAAAGAUAUAUGCUGCUUAAACACAAAUACGUUUUAAAAUAUAUUUUAGGCAGUAGGGUUUUGGGUUUUUUUUUUGCAAGUUCUUUUGGUGAGUAAAUUUAGUGAUAAAUGAUUUUUUUUUCUUUUGAGACAGUUUGCUCUGUCGCCCAGGAUGGAGUGCAGUGCAGUGGCGCGAUCCUGCAACCUCCGCCUCUCGAGUUCAAGCGAUUCUCCUGCCUCAGCCUCCCGAGUAGCUGGGAUUACAGACGCGCGCCACCCCACCCAGAUGAUCUUUUUAAAUGCAAAAUGCCAUCGACGCAGAAAAUCAAAGAAUCAGCUUAAGUUCCAGAAAAAAGAAAAACCAACCAAAUGAACAAUAAGACAACAACAACAACAACAAAAAAGGCCUUUUGGGAUUUUGGAUGAUAUUGCAUCAAAUCCAUACAUUAACCUGAGAGACGAGCGACUUCUUCAACAUUGAGCCUUCCAAUCAUGAUUUUCAAUUCAUUUAGGUCUUCUGUAAUGUUUCUUAAUAUAAUUGUAUUUGUUGCUAUGCAGAAGUUUCACUGAUCUUUUAUUAUAUCUCUAUAUAUAUUUGAUAUUUCUGACACUAUUGUAAAUAGUAUCUUUUUAAUAUUUCAUUUUCCUUUUUUGUUGCUUAAAUAUAUAUAAAAUAAGCUAAUUUUCCAAACUAAUUUUUAUAUCCAGCAACCCUGCUAAAAUUUCUUAUCCAAUAAAAA